GCCCCUGAAGAGGGGGCGAAAACCCAGGGGCCCGACGGCGGCGUCGGGGGGAUUGGGGGCAAAGCCCCCGGAAUGAACCCCGCCCUCCUCCCCUGGGUAUA
This is a small nucleolar RNA of Pyrococcus furiosus DSM 3638, 101 nucleotides long. It matches the Rfam family "Pab19 RNA". From Rfam's summary of the family: By using various computational and experimental approaches in three Pyrococcus genomes seven H/ACA sRNAs and 15 pseudouridine resides on rRNA were identified. The record is from Rfam. NCBI's taxonomy places the organism in Archaea, Methanobacteriati, Methanobacteriota, Thermococci, Thermococcales, Thermococcaceae.